CGGUUCUCUCCUCGAACGGUACUGGUUGUUGAUGGUGGCGGUGGUGGUGGUGAUGGUGAUGGUAGUAGUUGUGCCAGUGGGUACGCGCUCCCUACGAGGGCGAGAGAGAAUCGCAGGCAGAUUCGCGGGAUCCGGCUGGUCCAGCAGCGCGCGCGCGUCCCUGGAAGGUGUCGUUCGUGUUCCUUCGGGAGAAAAAUCGGGGAUAAAUUUUUCCGAAUUUCCAAUCUUAUUUGCCUUUUUGUUCCAAAAAAAACAAAAAAUAUAAAAACAAAUCAUUUUCGUCCUUCUCGUUGGGGAGCAGUAGGAAAUUAUAAAACCGUUGUUGUAUUCACGAAUCGUAAUUAUUUGUACGAUAGAUUUUUUUUUCUGUGUAACGUCAAAAGUAUAUCGUGAACAAGUAUAUAGUUACGAAUCGUAGAAAUACGAGAUUUCUAGACUGAGGAGAGAGAGAGAGAGAGAGAGAGAGUGUGUGUGUGUGUGUUUGUGUGGUACGCGAUGGAAGAAGUAUGUCAGUGAGCGGGCUUUGAUCAAAAGGUGAAAUCAAAAGAAAUGCUGCGGUGCUGUUUGGUGCCGAUUGUAAGAGGAAAGAUAGAGAAGAUAGAUAGAUAGAUAACUGUGCGAAGUGAAAAGAUCGAACGGUUUUGGUUAUCGAUGCGCAGGGAACGGUUAUUCUACUUCCUGCUAUCUAACAUUUUCAUGAAAACGAUCGUGACCAUUAGCGGAAGAAGAAGAAGGCUUCUUUUUCUUCGAAAAAACUCGAAGAGCAGUAACUCGAUCCGUGAUAAGGAAAUAAACGAGAAAAGGAAGAAGAAGAAGAAGAAGAAGAAUAAAAAAAAGGAAGAAGAUAGAAUUGUUAGUAAAUCGAAUCAACGAUAUGGAUGCCUUGGAAUUGCAAG
Molecule: unclassified non-coding RNA, 896 nt
Filed under: Polistes fuscatus (common paper wasp)
Lineage: Eukaryota; Metazoa; Arthropoda; Insecta; Hymenoptera; Vespidae
Description: uncharacterized LOC122520240, transcript variant X13
Source: RNAcentral